CAGGGUGCCUGGGCGGUCGACCUGUGCCGGGAGCUCGGGAUUCCCGAAGGGGUCCUCCCGCCCCUUCGGGACCCGGGCUCUCUCCUCGGCACCCUGC
This 97-nucleotide transfer RNA is filed under the name Nocardioides albus. RNAcentral describes it as "tRNA-Pro". Lineage: Bacteria; Bacillati; Actinomycetota; Actinomycetes; Propionibacteriales; Nocardioidaceae. The record is from RNAcentral.